RNAcentral lists this ribosomal RNA (510 nucleotides) under Aliarcobacter butzleri. RNAcentral describes it as "bacterial SSU rRNA". It matches the Rfam family "Bacterial small subunit ribosomal RNA", at positions 1014 to 1533 of the family's 1533-position model. The record is from RNAcentral. Lineage: Bacteria; Pseudomonadati; Campylobacterota; Epsilonproteobacteria; Campylobacterales; Arcobacteraceae.
GCUUGCAGAAACUUGCAUACAGGUGCUGCACGGCUGUCGUCAGCUCGUGUCGUGAGAUGUUGGGUUAAGUCCCGCAACGAGCGCAACCCUCGUCCUUAGUUGCUAACAGUUCGGCUGAGAACUCUAAGGAGACUGCCUACGCAAGUAGGAGGAAGGUGAGGAUGACGUCAAGUCAUCAUGGCCCUUACGUCCAGGGCUACACACGUGCUACAAUGGGGUAUACAAAGAGCAGCAAUACGGUGACGUGGAGCAAAUCUCAAAAAUGCCUCCCAGUUCGGAUUGUAGUCUGCAACUCGACUACAUGAAGUUGGAAUCGCUAGUAAUCGUAGAUCAGCUAUGCUACGGUGAAUACGUUCCCGGGUCUUGUACUCACCGCCCGUCACACCAUGGGAGUUGAACUCAUUCGAAGCGGGGAUGCUAAAGUAGCUACCUUCCACAGUGGAUUCAGCGACUGGGGUGAAGUCGUAACAAGGUAACCGUAGGAGAACCUGCGGUUGGAUCACCUCCUUU